GGGUUGUGAGGUUAAGCGACUAAGCGUACACGGUGGAUGCCCUGGCAGUCAGAGGCGAUGAAGGACGUGCUAAUCUGCGAUAAGCGUCGGUAAGGUGAUAUGAACCGUUAUAACCGGCGAUUUCCGAAUGGGGAAACCCAGUGUGUUUCGACACACUAUCAUUAACUGAAUCCAUAGGUUAAUGAGGCGAACCGGGGGAACUGAAACAUCUAAGUACCCCGAGGAAAAGAAAUCAACCGAGAUUCCCCCAGUAGCGGCGAGCGAACGGGGAGCAGCCCAGAGCCUGAAUCAGUGUGUGUGUUAGUGGAAGCGUCUGGAAAGGCGCGCGAUACAGGGUGACAGCCCCGUACACAAAAAUGCACAUAUUGUGAGCUCGAUGAGUAGGGCGGGACACGUGGUAUCCUGUCUGAAUAUGGGGGGACCAUCCUCCAAGGCUAAAUACUCCUGACUGACCGAUAGUGAACCAGUACCGUGAGGGAAAGGCGAAAAGAACCCCGGCGAGGGGAGUGAAAAAGAACCUGAAACCGUGUACGUACAAGCAGUGGGAGCACGCUUAGGCGUGUGACUGCGUACCUUUUGUAUAAUGGGUCAGCGACUUAUAUUCUGUAGCAAGGUUAACCGAAUAGGGGAGCCGAAGGGAAACCGAGUCUUAACUGGGCGUUAAGUUGCAGGGUAUAGACCCGAAACCCGGUGAUCUAGCCAUGGGCAGGUUGAAGGUUGGGUAACACUAACUGGAGGACCGAACCGACUAAUGUUGAAAAAUUAGCGGAUGACUUGUGGCUGGGGGUGAAAGGCCAAUCAAACCGGGAGAUAGCUGGUUCUCCCCGAAAGCUAUUUAGGUAGCGCCUCGUGAAUUCAUCUCCGGGGGUAGAGCACUGUUUCGGCAAGGGGGUCAUCCCGACUUACCAACCCGAUGCAAACUGCGAAUACCGGAGAAUGUUAUCACGGGAGACACACGGCGGGUGCUAACGUCCGUCGUGAAGAGGGAAACAACCCAGACCGCCAGCUAAGGUCCCAAAGUCAUGGUUAAGUGGGAAACGAUGUGGGAAGGCCCAGACAGCCAGGAUGUUGGCUUAGAAGCAGCCAUCAUUUAAAGAAAGCGUAAUAGCUCACUGGUCGAGUCGGCCUGCGCGGAAGAUGUAACGGGGCUAAACCAUGCACCGAAGCUGCGGCAGCGACACUGUGUGUUGUUGGGUAGGGGAGCGUUCUGUAAGCCUGUGAAGGUGUGCUGUGAGGCAUGCUGGAGGUAUCAGAAGUGCGAAUGCUGACAUAAGUAACGAUAAAGCGGGUGAAAAGCCCGCUCGCCGGAAGACCAAGGGUUCCUGUCCAACGUUAAUCGGGGCAGGGUGAGUCGACCCCUAAGGCGAGGCCGAAAGGCGUAGUCGAUGGGAAACAGGUUAAUAUUCCUGUACUUGGUGUUACUGCGAAGGGGGGACGGAGAAGGCUAUGUUGGCCGGGCGACGGUUGUCCCGGUUUAAGCGUGUAGGCUGGUUUUCCAGGCAAAUCCGGAAAAUCAAGGCUGAGGCGUGAUGACGAGGCACUACGGUGCUGAAGCAACAAAUGCCCUGCUUCCAGGAAAAGCCUCUAAGCAUCAGGUAACAUCAAAUCGUACCCCAAACCGACACAGGUGGUCAGGUAGAGAAUACCAAGGCGCUUGAGAGAACUCGGGUGAAGGAACUAGGCAAAAUGGUGCCGUAACUUCGGGAGAAGGCACGCUGAUAUGUAGGUGAAGUCCCUCGCGGAUGGAGCUGAAAUCAGUCGAAGAUACCAGCUGGCUGCAACUGUUUAUUAAAAACACAGCACUGUGCAAACACGAAAGUGGACGUAUACGGUGUGACGCCUGCCCGGUGCCGGAAGGUUAAUUGAUGGGGUCAGCGCAAGCGAAGCUCUUGAUCGAAGCCCCGGUAAACGGCGGCCGUAACUAUAACGGUCCUAAGGUAGCGAAAUUCCUUGUCGGGUAAGUUCCGACCUGCACGAAUGGCGUAAUGAUGGCCAGGCUGUCUCCACCCGAGACUCAGUGAAAUUGAACUCGCUGUGAAGAUGCAGUGUACCCGCGGCAAGACGGAAAGACCCCGUGAACCUUUACUAUAGCUUGACACUGAACAUUGAGCCUUGAUGUGUAGGAUAGGUGGGAGGCUUUGAAGUGUGGACGCCAGUCUGCAUGGAGCCGACCUUGAAAUACCACCCUUUAAUGUUUGAUGUUCUAACGUUGACCCGUGAUCCGGGUUGCGGACAGUGUCUGGUGGGUAGUUUGACUGGGGCGGUCUCCUCCUAAAGAGUAACGGAGGAGCACGAAGGUUGGCUAAUCCUGGUCGGACAUCAGGAGGUUAGUGCAAUGGCAUAAGCCAGCUUGACUGCGAGCGUGACGGCGCGAGCAGGUGCGAAAGCAGGUCAUAGUGAUCCGGUGGUUCUGAAUGGAAGGGCCAUCGCUCAACGGAUAAAAGGUACUCCGGGGAUAACAGGCUGAUACCGCCCAAGAGUUCAUAUCGACGGCGGUGUUUGGCACCUCGAUGUCGGCUCAUCACAUCCUGGGGCUGAAGUAGGUCCCAAGGGUAUGGCUGUUCGCCAUUUAAAGUGGUACGCGAGCUGGGUUUAGAACGUCGUGAGACAGUUCGGUCCCUAUCUGCCGUGGGCGCUGGAGAACUGAGGGGGGCUGCUCCUAGUACGAGAGGACCGGAGUGGACGCAUCACUGGUGUUCGGGUUGUCAUGCCAAUGGCACUGCCCGGUAGCUAAAUGCGGAAGAGAUAAGUGCUGAAAGCAUCUAAGCACGAAACUUGCCCCGAGAUGAGUUCUCCCUGACCCUUUAAGGGUCCUGAAGGAACGUUGAAGACGACGACGUUGAUAGGCCGGGUGUGUAAGCGCAGCGAUGCGUUGAGCUAACCGGUACUAAUGAACCGUGAGGCUUAACCUUACAACGCCGAAGCUGUU
This 2929-nucleotide ribosomal RNA is filed under the name Escherichia coli. RNAcentral's name for it is "23S ribosomal RNA". It matches the Rfam family "Bacterial large subunit ribosomal RNA". The record is from RNAcentral. Lineage: Bacteria; Pseudomonadati; Pseudomonadota; Gammaproteobacteria; Enterobacterales; Enterobacteriaceae.